Acanthosepion pharaonis is the source of this 114-nucleotide non-coding RNA. NCBI's taxonomy places the organism in Eukaryota, Metazoa, Mollusca, Cephalopoda, Sepiida, Sepiidae. The record is from the annotation of a GenBank genome assembly.
UUACGGCAAUAUCACGUCGAAACGCCAGUUCUCGUACGAUCACCGAAGUUAAGCAACGUUGAGUUGGGUCAAUACUUAGAUGGGUGACCGCUUGAGAAUACCGUGUGCUGUAAG